GAUGAACGCUGGCGGCGUGCCUAAUACAUGCAAGUCGAGCGAACGGACGAGAAGCUUGCUUCUCUGAUGUUAGCGGCGGACGGGUGAGUAACACGUGGAUAACCUACCUAUAAGACUGGGAUAACUUCGGGAAACCGGAGCUAAUACCGGAUAAUAUUUUGAACCGCAUGGUUCAAAAGUGAAAGACGGUCUUGCUGUCACUUAUAGAUGGGUCCGCGCUGCAUUAGCUAGUUGGUAAGGUAACGGCUUACCAAGGCAACGAUGCAUAGCCGACCUGAGAGGGUGAUCGGCCACACUGGAACUGAGACACGGUCCAGACUCCUACGGGAGGCAGCAGUAGGGAAUCUGCCGCAAUGGGCGAAAGCCUGACGGAGCAACGCCGCGUGAGUGAUGAAGGUCUUCGGAUCGUAAAACUCUGUUAUUAGGGAAGAACAUAUGUGUAAGUAACUGUGCACAUCUUGACGGUACCUAAUCAGAAAGCCACGGCUAACUACGUG
This 497-nucleotide ribosomal RNA is filed under the name uncultured bacterium. RNAcentral describes it as "partial 16S ribosomal RNA". It matches the Rfam family "Bacterial small subunit ribosomal RNA", at positions 28 to 507 of the family's 1533-position model. The record is from RNAcentral.